Molecule: ribosomal RNA, 590 nt
Filed under: uncultured bacterium
Lineage: Bacteria
Description: bacterial SSU rRNA
Rfam family: Bacterial small subunit ribosomal RNA
Source: RNAcentral
UCCUACGGGAGGCAGCAGUAGGGAAUCUUCCGCAAUGGACGAAAGUCUGACGGAGCAACGCCGCGUGAGUGAUGAAGGCUUUCGGGUCGUAAAACUCUGUUGUUAGGGAAGAACAAGUGCUAGUUGAAUAAGCUGGCACCUUGACGGUACCUAACCAGAAAGCCACGGCUAACUACGUGCCAGCAGCCGCGGUAAUACGUAGGUGGCAAGCGUUAUCCGGAAUUAUUGGGCGUAAAGCGCGCGCAGGUGGUUUCUUAAGUCUGAUGUGAAAGCCCACGGCUCAACCGUGGAGGGUCAUUGGAAACUGGGAGACUUGAGUGCAGAAGAGGAAAGUGGAAUUCCAUGUGUAGCGGUGAAAUGCGUAGAGAUAUGGAGGAACACCAGUGGCGAAGGCGACUUUCCGGUCUGUAACUGACACUGAGGCGCGAAAGCGUGGGGAGCAAACAGGAUUAGAUACCUUGGUAGUCCACGCCGUAAACGAUGAGUGCUAAGUGUUAGAGGGUUUCCGCCCUUUAGUGCUGAAGUUAACGCAUUAAGCACUCCGCCUGGGGAGUACGGUCGCAAGAUUAAAACUCAAAGGAAUUGACGGA